GACGAACGCUGGCGGCGUGCUUAACACAUGCAAGUCGAACGGAAAGGCCCUGCUUGCAGGGUACUCGAGUGGCGAACGGGUGAGUAACACGUGGGUGAUCUGCCCUGCACUUCGGGAUAAGCCUGGGAAACUGGGUCUAAUACCGGAUAGGAGCCAUUUUUGGUGUGAUGGUUGGAAAGUUUUUUCGGUGUAGGAUGAGCUCGCGGCCUAUCAGCUUGUUGGUGGGGUAAUGGCCUACCAAGGCGGCGACGGGUAGCCGGCCUGAGAGGGUGGACGGCCACAUUGGGACUGAGAUACGGCCCAGACUCCUACGGGAGGCAGCGGUGGGGAAUAUUGCACAAUGGGCGCAAGCCUGAUGCAGCGACGCCGCGUGGGGGAUGACGGCCUUCGGGUUGUAAACUCCUUUCGCUAGGGACGAAGCUUUUUGUGACGGUACCUAGAUAAGAAGCACCGGCUAACUACGUG
This 465-nucleotide ribosomal RNA is filed under the name uncultured bacterium. RNAcentral's name for it is "partial 16S ribosomal RNA". It matches the Rfam family "Bacterial small subunit ribosomal RNA", at positions 28 to 507 of the family's 1533-position model. The record is from RNAcentral.